Molecule: ribosomal RNA, 438 nt
Filed under: Rothia dentocariosa
Lineage: Bacteria; Bacillati; Actinomycetota; Actinomycetes; Micrococcales; Micrococcaceae
Description: bacterial SSU rRNA
Rfam family: Bacterial small subunit ribosomal RNA
Source: RNAcentral
GACGAACGCUGGCGGCGUGCUUAACACAUGCAAGUCGAACGAUGAAGCCUAGCUUGCUAGGUGGAUUAGUGGCGAACGGGUGAGUAAUACGUGAGUGACCUACCUUUGACUCUGGGAUAAGCCUGGGAAACUGGGUCUAAUACCGGAUACGACCAAUCUCCGCAUGGGGUGUUGGUGGAAAGCGUUAUGGAGUGGUUUUAGAUGGGCUCACGGCCUAUCAGCUUGUUGGUGAGGUAAUGGCUUACCAAGGCGACGACGGGUAGCCGGCCUGAGAGGGUGACCGGCCACACUGGGACUGAGACACGGCCCAGACUCCUACGGGAGGCAGCAGUGGGGAAUACUGCACAAUGGGCGCAAGCCUGAUGCAGCGACGCCGCGUGAGGGAUGACGGCCUUCGGGUUGUAAACCUCUGUUAGCAUCGAAGAAGCGAAAGUGACG